Molecule: long non-coding RNA, 849 nt
Filed under: Solanum tuberosum (potato)
Lineage: Eukaryota; Viridiplantae; Streptophyta; Magnoliopsida; Solanales; Solanaceae
Description: long non-coding RNA (STUB_LNC002579)
Source: RNAcentral
AAAACUAAACAUGAUCAAGACAUCUACAUAUUCGAUAAUUUCUCAUAAAAACAACUGAAACCGUCAAAUUUCAAGGUAGUAAUACAAUAUUAUUACCUACUGUUAUAACAUCUAGAUCAUUGCCAAUUAACAAUUACAUCAUAUUCGAGUCAUGUACUUGGAAGUUAUAUUUGUGCUGAGAUGAUUCGAAUAAAACAAACAAACUUACUUAAUAGUUCACAUCCACCUGAAAUACAAUUCAGAUGACAGACUUUUUUAGCAAUUUAUAAUCACGAUUUCAAGUAACUAACAUGAAUGUCAUUAAUAGAAAGCUUAUGGAAAAAAAUUAUUGGUAAGGUGACGUCCAAGUUGCAGAGAGGGAUGCAUUUACAGUAAGGGGAUUCUAUGUAAUUGCUAAACGUGAAAUUUUGUUAGAAAUGAUUUAAGUCGUUGUCAAAAUGAAAUAACAGUUCUCAUGUACUAAUUCUUUUAUUCAGUAUUGACAAUGGAACAUCUAAAUGAUUAGGAUAUAUAAAUAUAUUACCAGUGGCCUUAGUCAAUAGUAAAAUAGUAGGCAAAACAGAGGAAUCGAUUCAAUAAAUCACAAUUAAAGUAUUAAAAUCGAUAGAUCACCAACACGACUUAGCAAACACAGAUUAAUAAACAUGAUAAAAAGAAAAAGAAAGUGUUGAAAUCUCAAAGGAGAUCAACAGAUAACAACAAUACACACACAGAGAACAAGAAUUAGAUACAUACCUAUACCUAUAGAGACAGAAACCGAGGAAACAACAUAACGCUUAGAUUUUGGAGGGGAGUGAUUCACGUACCUGGAUACUACAAUUUAGGACAUCGUUGUUAUGUGGAAUAGGC